Molecule: non-coding RNA, 122 nt
Filed under: Erpetoichthys calabaricus (reedfish)
Lineage: Eukaryota; Metazoa; Chordata; Cladistia; Polypteriformes; Polypteridae
Source: RNAcentral
GCACUGUCAUGAGGGUCAGAAGGCUAGCACUCCCCAUGAGAAGGAUGGAAGAGGUCCUAGUGGCUUUACAACACAUAUACGUUAAAGGAAUAUAUUUAAUUUGAUAAAUGACUUGCCUAUCA